CUUGAUGAUGCUUUGUUUAAUAGUUUUUCAUCUUUUCUGUGUGCAGGAGAUCACAAGCUGAAACGAAGAUCAGUCCCCACCAAUAACACAAGUCCUGCAGGGAAAACACAGUCUCAAGGUGAGCAUCUCAGAAAUGUAUUUCACACUCACUUGUUUUUCGCUCAAACUAUUUAUGUAAAAUG
RNAcentral lists this long non-coding RNA (182 nucleotides) under Danio rerio (zebrafish). Its description in RNAcentral is "lncRNA (ENSDARG00000117803.1)". The record is from RNAcentral. Lineage: Eukaryota; Metazoa; Chordata; Actinopteri; Cypriniformes; Danionidae.